Molecule: long non-coding RNA, 211 nt
Filed under: Lathyrus oleraceus (garden pea)
Lineage: Eukaryota; Viridiplantae; Streptophyta; Magnoliopsida; Fabales; Fabaceae
Description: Pisum sativum (pea) long non-coding RNA (PSAT_LNC007745)
Source: RNAcentral
GAAGACGACCAUGAAACUUAACAUCCUAAAACUCGAUGAGACAUCAAUAAGCCUGUAAAUGUUGGGAUAUGUAAAAUUCGUGCACAUCCUCCACUUCCUUGUGUUCUUAUUCACCAUUAAUAUGUCAUCUAACCACGUCAGAUACUUGAUUUCUUAGAUUAAUCUCGCCUCAAACAACUUUUUUACCUCUUAUGAAACUACCCACCUUUUU